Molecule: long non-coding RNA, 2255 nt
Filed under: Piliocolobus tephrosceles (Ugandan red Colobus)
Lineage: Eukaryota; Metazoa; Chordata; Mammalia; Primates; Cercopithecidae
Description: lncRNA (ENSPTEG00000006907.1)
Source: RNAcentral
AAAAUGAAAUAUUUUUGUAUAUACAUCUUUGUAUUUUUAAUUUUGUUAAAGCAUAAGUACUGCAACAAAAUAAAUCGACAAAAUUUGUUUUUAUUUUUGAAAACAACCCCUUCUUACAUUUUUACAAAUAAAAAAUAUAUACAAACGAAAUAUCACAACAUAAAAAAACGUAAAUACAACUAUAACAAAUUAAACAACACAAGACCAGUACAGGUGGGAGAAUUAAAAAUAGGGAAAAUUUAUGACAUUAAAAAUAAUGACAUAUAUGUAAAAUUAAAAAAUAAUAAUAAAAAUACAAUUAUUAUAAAAAAAGAAAAUAAUUAUUUAUUGGAAAAUGAAUUAUUAUAUGAUUACCUUUUUAACUUAAGCUUAAUAGAUAAUGUGUUAUAUAACAAAUUGAUGAAAAAUAGAAAGCUGCUUCCUACUACUAAUAAACAACAAAAUGUACAGAAUGAAAAACAGCAGGCUGUACCUGGUGAAGCCCAUUCAGAUGCACCUGGUGAAACCCAUUCAAAUGCACCUGGUGAAGCCCAUUCAAAUGCACCUGAUGGAGUAAAGGACUGCAUUGUGCUUAUCAAAGAAAUAAACGAAAAAGACGAAAUUGUUGGUGAAUUAUAUUUAAAUGAAAUAAUAAAAAGAAAAGAAAAGAUUUAUGACAAGUUAGAAGAAUUAAAAGCUUUGGAAAAGCGAAUACCUAUUAAAAUUUUAAAAAAUGUAAGAAAUAAAUGUUUUAUUGUAUUAAUUAAUGACUGUAUAAAAGGCUAUUUAUUAUAUGAUAAUAAAGAUGAUGAUAACAGGCAAUUAAAUGAUAUGUUACUUUUAGAUAAUUUAAAAAAGAAAAAGUUCACAGAGAAAUUAAGUGCAUAUAUAAUUGAUGUGAAUAAAAAACUAGAAUAUGUUUUUCUAUCAUUAAAAAAAUAUCCAAAUAAUACGUUAAACGAAAUGCUGUCAGCCUUACAACAUACUAUAAUUGUGGAAAAUUUAUUUGAUAAUUAUUUUUUUAAAGCAGAGAUAAGUGAUUAUUGUAAUGAUGGGAAUAAUAUUAUAGUAAAAAUUUUUGAAAAUAAAAAUAAUACAAUACAUGUAAAAAUCAAAUCGCAUAAUAUAAUUAACACAAAAAAUAUUCUUAGAAACUUUGAUUAUUUAAAAAAUAAAGUCAUAACCCAUGGGUUUGUGACAUCUGGAGGUAGUGGUGGUGGUAGUAGUGACAAACAUGAUAUACGUGAUAUACGUGAUAAACGUCAUAAAUACGACGAAGAAUAUGACACGUUUCAACAAAAAAAAGACAGUAGGAUGCUAAAAAAAGAUUACAUAGAUAAGUUUAAAGAGUAUAAAAAUAAAUUUUAUGGGUGUAAAGAAAUGGAAGCAUUAAAAUAUAUUAAUGUUGAUGGUUAUAUAUAUAACAAAGAAAAAGUAUUAUAUGUUCGAAUCAUUAAUAAAACGCUAGACCCAAAUUUAUAUGAAGGAAGUAUGGUGAAUUCUGAUCGUAUAGAUCAACAUAUAUAUAAUCUUAUAAAAAAAAUAGCUAGUAAACAAAAUGUGGUACAUUCUUAUGAUAGCAAAUUGAGAUACCCUUCUAAAGUGCUUGGCUUUUUUAAUAAUUAUGUUAUAUUGUCUACUAGGGUUUUGAAUAUAAAUAAUAAUAAUAAUAAUAAUAACAAUAAUGGUGAUGAGAAUAUAGGAAAUAUCAGUUUUGGAAAAGACCAAGUUAAACAACAAACAAGUAUAAAACCAAGUGUACAAACUGUAGGCAGUAUUCAAAGCGAACAAACAAAAGAUAUUAUAACACUAAUCGAAAAACGCUAUAUCGAUUAUGAAAAUUUAAAAGAAGGGGAUGUGUUUUUUUGUCGAUUUGACACUGUGAAAAAAAGAAAUAUUCGUAAUAUUUUUAGCUUGUCAAACAAUACUAUUAAUAAGAUAUUUAACACGUACUUUAAUAACGAUAAGGAUUUGGGUAGUUGGGAUCAAGAGGGAUUCAUUCAUAGUGGUGGUAGCAGUAGCGGUAGUGGUAGCAGUGGUAGUGAUAGUAGCCAUGGUCAUGAUAGUAGCCAUGGGUCGGAAAAACAAAUUCAUAAAACCAAAACGUUUAAACAACUAAAAUUUGAAGAAAUAUUUUUUGAUAAACGUGAUAUAUAUAUAAUGAGAGGUGAGUUGCAUGAGGAAACUGAAUACCAUUUAAAUAAAAAUAAUAUAGACAAAAAUUAUAAAAUGUUAAAACAAACGUGUGAUACGUAUUAUUCAGGUAUCAAUAAGGC